RNAcentral lists this ribosomal RNA (253 nucleotides) under uncultured bacterium. RNAcentral describes it as "partial 16S ribosomal RNA". It matches the Rfam family "Bacterial small subunit ribosomal RNA", at positions 524 to 776 of the family's 1533-position model. The record is from RNAcentral.
UACGGAGGGUGCAAGCGUUGUCCGGAAUCACUGGGCGUAAAGGGCGCGUAGGCGGCUCGGUCAGUAGGGGGUGAAAUCCUGCGGCUUAACCGCAGGGCUGCCUUCUAAACUGUCGAGCUUGAGCACGGUAGAGGCAGAUGGAAUUCCCGGUGUAGCGGUGGAAUGCGUAGAGAUCGGGAAGAACAUCAGUGGCGAAGGCGGUCUGCUGGGCCGUUGCUGACGCUGAGGCGCGACAGCGUGGGGAGCAAACAGG